RNAcentral lists this unclassified non-coding RNA (287 nucleotides) under Hevea brasiliensis (rubber tree). Lineage: Eukaryota; Viridiplantae; Streptophyta; Magnoliopsida; Malpighiales; Euphorbiaceae. The record is from RNAcentral.
GCGGUGUCUCCGGCGGUCUUUUCUCAAUCGGAUGGGGAUGACGCUGCCUCGAAGAGAAUGAGGGAUACUCAGUUCCGAUCAUGUCGAUCUCUUCUCCCUCCGACUCCUUCAUUGACUCUCACUUACUCUGUGACGAGGACUCCUCCGGUAUUUUGUCCGGAGAGUCGCCGGAGUACUCCUCUGACCUUGAAUCCCCGGCCAGCAGUGAGGAUUCUAUCGCUACUUUCAUAGAGGACGAGAGACACUUCGUUCCUGGAAUUGAUUACUUGUCGCGCUUUCAGUCUCAA